RNAcentral lists this ribosomal RNA (460 nucleotides) under uncultured bacterium. RNAcentral describes it as "partial 16S ribosomal RNA". It matches the Rfam family "Bacterial small subunit ribosomal RNA", at positions 338 to 795 of the family's 1533-position model. The record is from RNAcentral.
CCUACGGGGGGCCGCAGUGAGGAAUAUUGGUCAAUGGACGAGAGUCUGAACCAGCCAAGUAGCGUGAAGGAUGACUGCCCUAUGGGUUGUAAACUUCUUUUAUAUGGGAAUAAAACGUUCCACGUGUGGGAUUUUGUAUGUACCAUAUGAAUAAGGAUCGGCUAACUCCGUGCCAGCAGCCGCGGUAAUACGGAGGAUCCGAGCGUUAUCCGGAUUUAUUGGGUUUAAAGGGAGCGUAGGUGGAUUGUUAAGUCAGUUGUGAAAGUUUGCGGCUCAACCGUAAAAUUGCAGUUGAAACUGGCAGUCUUGAGUACAGUAGAGGUGGGCGGAAUUCGUGGUGUAGCGGUGAAAUGCUUAGAUAUCACGAAGAACUCCGAUUGCGAAGGCAGUUCACUGGACUGCAACUGACACUGAGGCUCGAAAGUGUGGGUAUCAAACAGGAUUAGAUACCCCAGUAGUC